GAUGAACGCUGGCGGCGUGCCUAAUACAUGCAAGUCGAGCGAACAGAUGAGGAGCUUGCUCCUCUGACGUUAGCGGCGGACGGGUGAGUAACACGUGGAUAACCUACCUAUAAGACUGGGAUAACUUCGGGAAACCGGAGCUAAUACCGGAUAAUAUAUUGAACCGCAUGGUUCAAUAGUGAAAGACGGUUUUGCUGUCACUUAUAGAUGGAUCCGCGCCGCAUUAGCUAGUUGGUAAGGUAACGGCUUACCAAGGCAACGAUGCGUAGCCGACCUGAGAGGGUGAUCUGCCACACUGGAACUGAGACACGGUCCAGACUCCUACGGGAGGCAGCAGUAGGGAAUCUUCCGCAAUGGGCGAAAGCCUGACGGAGCAACGCCGCGUGAGUGAUGAAGGUCUUCGGAUCGUAAAACUCUGUUAUUAGGGAAGAACAAAUGUGUAAGUAACUAUGCACGUCUUGACGGUACCUAAUCAGAAAGCCACGGCUAACUACGUG
This 497-nucleotide ribosomal RNA is filed under the name uncultured bacterium. RNAcentral's name for it is "partial 16S ribosomal RNA". It matches the Rfam family "Bacterial small subunit ribosomal RNA", at positions 28 to 507 of the family's 1533-position model. The record is from RNAcentral.